Molecule: ribosomal RNA, 253 nt
Filed under: uncultured bacterium
Lineage: Bacteria
Description: partial 16S ribosomal RNA
Rfam family: Bacterial small subunit ribosomal RNA
Source: RNAcentral
UACGAAGGGGGCGAGCGUUGUUCGGAAUUACUGGGCGUAAAGGGUGCGUAGGCGGUCGGGUAAGUCUGAUGUGAAAUCUCACAGCUUAACUGUGAAACUGCAUUGGAUACUAUUCGGCUAGAGAGUUGGAGGGGGGACUGGAAUUCUUGGUGUAGCAGUGAAAUGCGUAGAUAUCAAGAGGAACACCAGUGGCGAAGGCGAGUCCCUGGACAACUUCUGACGCUGAGGCACGAAAGCUAGGGGAGCAAACAGG